UGUUACAUCCUCUCCUGAGCACAAAGACAGCAAGAAAUUAGAAAGGAUUUACAGGUCAGAACAGAUAGGCUUUGCAGUUCCUACAGCUGAGUAGCUUGGGAAGCUGAAGAGGAAAAGCUGCAGCUGUGACUGUGAAGCUGAAGUAACUGUCAUUUUGGUCAAUGCCCACAGGAAAGAUAUUCUGAACCCUGUCUAGAGCUCACUGGACCAAGCAGCUGCUCAAUCUGGUGGAGAUGACUUUGUGGAACCCACUAUGGAAUUGGACUGGAAAAGUGCAAAGUGGAGUGGGACCUGGUGGUGUGAUAUUUGGUGGACUGGAGCAGACAGGAACAGCCAGCUACGAUGUGUAUAUAAAGUCUGCUGCAGUUUCCACGGUACACAUCUGAUGAAGUGAGCUGUGGCUCACGAAAGCUCAUGCUCAAAUAAAUUGGUUAGUCUCUAAGGUGCCACAAGUACUCCUUUUCUUUUUGCGAAUACAGACUAACACGGCUGUUCCUCUGAAACCUGAUGUAAGAUGUGUGACUUAAAAGGAUUCCAGCACAAUUGUCAGUGAAGCAUCUACAGCAUCUCUGAGGCAAAGACUUAACAUUCUAAACCUCUUCAAUAAGCCAACCACAAAAAAUGUGCAAAAGUCAUUAAUUGGGCCACAGAAAGUUUGGCUUAUAUCAUGAGGUUGUUUAAAGUGUUUUUGUUUAAAUGCCUUCUUCUUUUGGAGCUUUUUGGGUGCUCUCACUGUGUUGGUAAGCUUUUCUCAUCAACCAAAAGCCUUGUUUAAAUGAAACGUUUUCAGGCAAAUCUCUGGAUUUGAGCAGCUGGGUCUUUAGCUAAGAUACCAACCACCAUGAGUCUGGCAAUGAAACAGUGAAUUGGCAAACCUGUUUUGACUAAUUGUCCCCAAGUUCGUUAGAAAAUGCAAAUGGAGAUGUGACAUUUGAGAGGCUUUGAUCUGACUCACUGGCACAGGUUUGAAAACCAACCCAGGAAAUUUUUUAUGGGCAGGGGUGUGAUUGAAAUCAAUUCAAUUCAAUAUAUUUUUUCCCCUCCAUUAUACAGGGAAAGGCUUUUUAAUUUCUUGGUGCAAGCCAAAAUGGAGCCAGGAUCAGUGGAGGCUGCACAUGAACUCAUUGUCAUUUUAUAAGAGUCCAUGAGUCAGGACCAUGAAGUAGAUGAUUGAGAACCAGUGUGACACCUUCUACCAUGCAAGCAUGGCAGUCCUGAGGAUCUGUCAGGGUGGUAUGGAACUCCUCUGAAUGAUUAUAAAGGGUUUACACUAUUUGGUUCCUUGUGUCUGCUGUUUAAUUCUAAGACACAGUAAUA
Molecule: long non-coding RNA, 1317 nt
Organism: Caretta caretta (loggerhead turtle)
Lineage: Eukaryota; Metazoa; Chordata; Testudines; Cheloniidae
Source: RefSeq, a predicted model, not a curated record